RNAcentral lists this non-coding RNA (123 nucleotides) under Pelotomaculum thermopropionicum. RNAcentral describes it as "MoCo sequence". It matches the Rfam family "Molybdenum/Tungsten riboswitch aptamer (Moco RNA motif)". Lineage: Bacteria; Bacillati; Bacillota; Clostridia; Eubacteriales; Desulfotomaculaceae. RNAcentral also lists the same sequence under 1 other name. The record is from RNAcentral.
GAAAAAAUUUAUCUCCGAGCCUGUUUAACCUUCACCGGCGGCGGUGGUGGUUUGCAGGCCGAUAAGGUGUAAGGGGAAACCCUUAUGCCCCCCAGUGCGGAAAGGAGAUGAGAAAUGCCAGCU